GGAUGUGAGGGUGAUCUGUCGUCUGGCUACAACAUCUAUCACCCCAUUGAUCACCAGUGUUGAUUCGGCUGAUCUGGCUGGCUAGACGGGUGUCCCCUUCCUCUCUCACUGCUCCAUGUGCGUCCCUCCUGAAGGUGCGGUUGAAGAGGACGACCAUCCCCGACAGAGGAGGAUCGGUCUUCGGUCAAGGGUAUAUGAGUAGCUGCGCUCCCCUGCCAGAACCUCCAAAUAAGCUCUCAAGGUCUAUCUAUAAUUCCAGCUACUCAGGAGGAAAAUUUGAGAAGAUUAUAGUUCCAGCCUGGUCUGAGUACAUCAGUAAAAAAAUCUA
Dipodomys ordii (Ord's kangaroo rat) is the source of this 328-nucleotide unclassified non-coding RNA. Its record names the gene 7SK. It matches the Rfam family "7SK RNA". From Rfam's summary of the family: 7SK was discovered as an abundant small nuclear RNA in the mid-70s but a possible function has only recently been suggested. Two independent studies have found that 7SK RNA binds the CDK9/cyclin T complex (known as elongation factor P-TEFb). Lineage: Eukaryota; Metazoa; Chordata; Mammalia; Rodentia; Heteromyidae. The record is from Ensembl.